RNAcentral lists this long non-coding RNA (1285 nucleotides) under Pan paniscus (pygmy chimpanzee). RNAcentral's name for it is "lncRNA (ENSPPAG00000045562.1)". Lineage: Eukaryota; Metazoa; Chordata; Mammalia; Primates; Hominidae. The record is from RNAcentral.
AUGAGCUUGGAGGAACACUCUUCCCCAAGCCUGCAGAUGGAAGCACAGCCAGCCCAACAUCUCGAUUUUGGCCUUGAGACUCUGAGCAGAGAACCUAAUCAACCCCGCCCAGGCUUCCCACCUACCGAAAUGGAGAUAAUAACAACUGUUGUUUUAAGUCACCAAAUGUGUGGUAAUCUUUUAUGCAGCAAUAGAAAACUAAUAUACAUAGCAUCUUUAAAAGCCUAUGAAAACCAUGGAGAGUAUAUUGCAAGGAAGAUAGACUCGGGAGAUGACACCAGCCUCAGGAGUCAUUGCUGUUUUCUGUACAAGAAAUAAUAAACUGUGUUUCUUCUUUCUACACAAUGCUUACGACUGUUUUGUGGCAAGAGGAAUUCUGAACGUUGAUGUCGGUGACGCUCACUUUAAAUGCCUGUGGCAUUAGUGCAAUCUAAUGAAAAGCUACUGUCUGGCAUUCCCAAUGGCCACUGAAUUCAUUAGCUUUUAAGACAAUCCACAGGGAAACACUUAAACAUGUAUAAAAGCCACUAUGCAAAAUACAGAUUUGAUUAUUAAAACCUCUAAGACAUGAAGUACUAUUCUAUAUGUUGGUUUUGUUUAGAUAUGAUGCUUAUUGAACAUAAUUUCAGGACUAUUUUAGGCUCAAUAUUUGCAUUUCAGUUUCACAUAAAAAUGUUACAUAAUGCAUUAAUGCAUUUUAUAAUGUGUUAAAGAGAUUGAUACCAAUUCAUGCCUACUGGUUAAAGAGUGGGGUUUAUACUUUCUUGAUCCAGUUUUAUCUUGUUUUUUUGAGACAGUCUUGCUCUGUUGCUCAGGCUAGAGUGCACUGGUGCGAUCUCAGCUCACUGCAACAACUGCCUCCCAGGUUCAAGCGAUUCUCCUGCCUCAGCCUCCUGAGUAGCUGGGAUUACAGGAUCCCACCACCACACGUGGCUAAUUUUUUUUUUUUUUNNNNNNNNNNNNNNNNNNNNUGGAGUUACAGAUCCACCACCACACGUGUCUAUUUUUUUUUUUUUUGUAUUUUUAGUAGAGACGGGGUUUUGCCAUGUUGGCAAUUUUGGUAGCUCCUGACCGCAGGUGAUUCACCUGCCUCAGCCUCCCUAAGUGCUGGGAUUACAAGUGUGAGCCACUGUGCCUGGCCUCAGUUAUUUGUUUAUUCACAUUGUUUUUAAGAGACAAGAGUCUUGCUCAGUCACCUGGCCUGGAGUGCAGUGGUGUGACCAUAGCUCAUUGCAACUUCGAACUCCUUGACUCAAAUGAUCCUUCACUUCAGCCUCUCUAGUAU